GUCAAACAGCUUUUCCCUCACCCAUUUAAAAGUCUAAUGUGGAUUGUUGUGCUUGAUUGAUUAAUAGCUGCCUGGUAUUAAGGUAUUAAUCUGCAGCAGGCACUUGGUCCUGGAUUCAUGAGCAGGGUUUCUGCAAGGCUGGGUAUCCCAGGGUUGGUGUGACUCACUUCACAUGCAGAUCAGAGGAUUGGAAAGAUCAGACUCAACAGAUCUGGGCAGGGGAUGUAAAGAGACCAGACUGAUGCCUACAUGCUGUGCUCCUCCAUGCUUCAGACAGCCCGUCAGACAGAGGAGCAAAAGGGGACGUCAUUUUCCUCUCUAAUAUCUUCUGAGCCUCAUCAGAAAUUUCUCUGCUGGCUUGAGAAGGCUGUUAUGACCACAUAAGCCGCUUCCCAACAAUGACUAUUGGACCUCCCAGAUUUAUUUCUUGUAGGAAGCCUGAAAUUGAAGUUGAAAUUGCUUUAAGAGGAUGAUAUGCUUGCCUGAAGAUGCCUAGUUCCUAUCUGCCCAUUUGGAUUACUGAACAAGCCUUCGACCAUCCUGUGAAACACUGAUUUCUUCACAAAGCUGAAUUUUUACUGGUUUGAGUUUAACCAAGUAUUUAGCGUGUAAACCUAGAAAACCAUUUCCUUGUGACAGAAAAUUGCUGUGCAGCUAUUUGGUGGGACUCUGUGAUCUGGAAGUCUUUUUUUUCCAGGGAAUGCUGCACAGUAAUGAAUACCAAAUAGAAUUUAUUGAGUGCAGGUAAAUUUUUAAUGGGUAGCAUUUGUAUGCUGAACAUAUGUUGAAAUGAAUGCAUAAUUAAAAAAAAUUUGUUUAUGAAAGUUCACCUGAGAUUUCAACAGUAGCAAUUUAAACUGAACAUUGCUGUUCUUGAUGUGUGCCAAUUUGUCAAGUUUUCUGAACACAGAGUAAGAACAGCAAGGGAAGCUUGCUAUUCCUGCAGAAUA
This is a non-coding RNA of Anas platyrhynchos (mallard), 950 nucleotides long. Lineage: Eukaryota; Metazoa; Chordata; Aves; Anseriformes; Anatidae. The record is from RefSeq and is a predicted model, not a curated record.